GUGCCAGCCGCCGCGGUAAUACGUAGGUGGCAAGCGUUGUCCGGAUUUAUUGGGCGUAAAGCGAGCGCAGGCGGUUUCUUAAGUCUGAUGUGAAAGCCUUCGGCUCAACCGAAGAAGUGCAUCGGAAACUGGGAAACUUGAGUGCAGAAGAGGACAGUGGAACUCCAUGUGUAGCGGUGAAAUGCGUAGAUAUAUGGAAGAACACCAGUGGCGAAGGCGGCUGUCUGGUCUGUAACUGACGCUGAGGCUCGAAAGCAUGGGUAGCAAACAGGAUUAGAUACCCUGGUAGUCCAUGCCGUAAACGAUGAGUGCUAGGUGUUGGAGGGUUUCCGCCCUUCAGUGCCGCAGCUAACGCAUUAAGCACUCCGCCUGGGGAGUACGACCGCAAGGUUGAAACUCAAAGGAAUUGACGGGGGCCCGCACAAGCGGUGGAGCAUGUGGUUUAAUUCGAAGCAACGCGAAGAACCUUACCAGGUCUUGACAUCCUUUGACCACUCUAGAGAUAGAGCUUUCCCUUCGGGGACAAAGUGACAGGUGGUGCAUGGUUGUCGUCAGCUCGUGUCGUGGGAUGUUGGGUUAAGUCCCGCAACGAGCGCAACCCUUAUUACUAGUUGCCAGCAUUUAGUUGGGCACUCUAGUGAGACUGCCGGUGACAAACCGGAGGAAGGUGGGGACGACGUCAAAUCAUCAUGCCCCUUAUGACCUGGGCUACACACGUGCUACAAUGGAUGGUACAACGAGUUGCGAGACCGCGAGGUUUAGCUAAUCUCUUAAAACCAUUCUCAGUUCGGAUUGUAGGCUGCAACUCGCCUACAUGAAGCCGGAAUCGCUAGUAAUCGCGGAUCAGCAUGCCGCGGUGAAUACGUUCCCGGGCCUUGUACACACCGCCCGU
RNAcentral lists this ribosomal RNA (892 nucleotides) under uncultured bacterium. Its description in RNAcentral is "bacterial SSU rRNA". It matches the Rfam family "Bacterial small subunit ribosomal RNA", at positions 505 to 1397 of the family's 1533-position model. The record is from RNAcentral.